This 1346-nucleotide ribosomal RNA is filed under the name uncultured bacterium. Its description in RNAcentral is "bacterial SSU rRNA". It matches the Rfam family "Bacterial small subunit ribosomal RNA", at positions 28 to 1381 of the family's 1533-position model. The record is from RNAcentral.
GACGAACGCUGGCGGCGUGCUUAACACAUGCAAGUCGAACGGAAAGGCCCUGCUUUUGUGGGGUGCUCGAGUGGCGAACGGGUGAGUAACACGUGAGUAACCUGCCCUUGACUUUGGGAUAACUUCAGGAAACUGGGGCUAAUACCGGAUAGGAGCUCCUGCUGCACGGUGGGGGUUGGAAAGUUUCGGCGGUUGGGGAUGGACUCGCGGCUUAUCAGCUUGUUGGUGGGGUAGUGGCUUACCAAGGCUUUGACGGGUAGCCGGCCUGAGAGGGUGACCGGCCACAUUGGGACUUAGAUACGGCCCAGACUCCUACGGGAGGCAGCAGUGGGGAAUAUUGCACAAUGGGCGGAAGCCUGAUGCAGCAACGCCGCGUGCGGGAUGACGGCCUUCGGGUUGUAAACCGCUUUCGCCUGUGACGAAGCGUGAGUGACGGUAAUGGGUAAAGAAGCACCGGCUAACUACGUGCCAGCAGCCGCGGUGAUACGUAAGGUGCGAGCGUUGUCCGGAUUUAUUGGGCGUAAAGGGCUCGUAGGUGGUUGAUCGCGUCGGAAGUGUAAUCUUGGGGCUUAACCCUGAGCGUGCUUUCGAUACGGGUUGACUUGAGGAAGGUAGGGGAGAAUGGAAUUCCUGGUGGAGCGGUGGAAUGCGCAGAUAUCAGGAGGAACACCAGUGGCGAAGGCGGUUCUCUGGGCCUUUCCUGACGCUGAGGAGCGGAAGCGUGGGGAGCGAACAGGCUUAGAUACCCUGGUAGUCCACGCUGUAAACGGUGGGUACUAGGUGUGGGGUCCAUUCCACGGGUUCCGUGCCGUAGCUAACGCUUUAAGUACCCCGCCUGGGGAGUACGGCCGCAAGGCUAAAACUCAAAGGAAUUGACGGGGCCCCGCACAAGCGGCGGAGCAUGCGGAUUAAUUCGAUGCAACGCGUAGAACCUUACCUGGGUUUGACAUGGAUCGGGAGCGCUCAGAGAUGGGUGUGCCUCUUUUGGGGUCGGUUCACAGGUGGUGCAUGGCUGUCGUCAGCUCGUGUCGUGAGAUGUUGGGUUAAGUCCCGCAACGAGCGCAACCCUUGUUCACUGUUGCCAGCACGUUAUGGUGGGGACUCAGUGGAGACCGCCGGGGUCAACUCGGAGGAAGGUGGGGAUGACGUCAAGUCAUCAUGCCCCUUAUGUCCAGGGCUUCACGCAUGCUACAAUGGCUGGUACAGAGAGUGGCGAGCCUGUGAGGGUGAGCGAAUCUCGGAAAGCCGGUCUCAGUUCGGAUUGGGGUCUGCAACUCGACCUCAUGAAGUCGGAGUCGCUAGUAAUCGCAGAUCAGCAACGCUGCGGUGAAUACGUUCCCGGGGCU